UGAGGAAUAUUGGUCAAUGGACGCAAGUCUGAACCAGCCAAGUCGCGUGCAGGAAUAAGGCCCUAUGGGUCGCAGACUGCUUUUGCAUGAGAAUAAAAAAGUGGGACGAGUCCCACUCUGUAGGUAUCAUGCGAAUAAGGAUCGGCUAACUCCGUGCCAGCAGCCGCGGUAAUACGGAGGAUCCGAGCGUUAUCCGGAUUCAUUGGGUUUAAAGGGUGCGCAGGCGGGUCUGUAAGCCCGUGGUGAAAGCCUGGUGCUCAACGCCAGAGGUGCCGCGGGAACUGCAGGUCUUGAGUCGUGACGAGGGCGGCGGAAUGCGAAGUGUAGCGGUGAAAUGCAUAGAUAUCACGCAGAACCCGAUCGCGAAGGCAGCCUGCCAGGCCGUGACUGACACUGAUGCA
This 401-nucleotide ribosomal RNA is filed under the name uncultured Parabacteroides sp. Its description in RNAcentral is "bacterial SSU rRNA". It matches the Rfam family "Bacterial small subunit ribosomal RNA", at positions 355 to 753 of the family's 1533-position model. The record is from RNAcentral. Lineage: Bacteria; Pseudomonadati; Bacteroidota; Bacteroidia; Bacteroidales; Tannerellaceae.